GAAUUGACGGGGGCCCGCACAAGCGGUGGAGCAUGUGGUUUAAUUCGAUGCAACGCGAAGAACCUUACCUGGUCUUGACAUCCACGGAAGUUUUCAGAGAUGAGAAUGUGCCUUCGGGAACCGUGAGACAGGUGCUGCAUGGCUGUCGUCAGCUCGUGUUGUGAAAUGUUGGGUUAAGUCCCGCAACGAGCGCAACCCUUAUCCUUUGUUGCCAGCGGUCCGGCCGGGAACUCAAAGGAGACUGCCAGUGAUAAACUGGAGGAAGGUGGGGAUGACGUCAAGUCAUCAUGGCCCUUACGACCAGGGCUACACACGUGCUACAAUGGCGCAUACAAAGAGAAGCGACCUCGCGAGAGCAAGCGGACCUCAUAAAGUGCGUCGUAGUCCGGAUUGGAGUCUGCAACUCGACUCCAUGAAGUCGGAAUCGCUAGUAAUCGUGGAUCAGAAUGCCACGGUGAAUACGUUCCCGGGCCUUGUACACACCGCCCGUCACACCAUGGGAGUGGGUUGCAAAAGAAGUAGGUAGCUUAACCUUCGGGAGGG
This 543-nucleotide ribosomal RNA is filed under the name Escherichia coli. Its description in RNAcentral is "bacterial SSU rRNA". It matches the Rfam family "Bacterial small subunit ribosomal RNA", at positions 907 to 1450 of the family's 1533-position model. Lineage: Bacteria; Pseudomonadati; Pseudomonadota; Gammaproteobacteria; Enterobacterales; Enterobacteriaceae. The record is from RNAcentral. RNAcentral also lists the same sequence under 1 other name.